RNAcentral lists this ribosomal RNA (90 nucleotides) under Pseudovibrio ascidiaceicola. Its description in RNAcentral is "16S rRNA. Bacterial SSU". It matches the Rfam family "Bacterial small subunit ribosomal RNA", at positions 1 to 99 of the family's 1533-position model. The record is from RNAcentral. Lineage: Bacteria; Pseudomonadati; Pseudomonadota; Alphaproteobacteria; Hyphomicrobiales; Stappiaceae.
UAAAACCUGAGAGUUUGAUCCUGGCUCAGAACGAACGCUGGCGGCAGGCCUAACACAUGCAAGUCGAACGGAUCCUUCGGGAUUAGUGGC